This 210-nucleotide long non-coding RNA is filed under the name Panax ginseng (ginseng). Its description in RNAcentral is "long non-coding RNA (PGIN_LNC004265)". The record is from RNAcentral. Lineage: Eukaryota; Viridiplantae; Streptophyta; Magnoliopsida; Apiales; Araliaceae.
AUAAGCAUGAUUUCAAUAAACUUCAAAAUCUAGCAUAGCUAGAUGACUUGGAAUAUCUUAUUCUCCAUCUUCAUUCAUUUUCUUACUUGCAAAAAUACUUAAUCUUCUCUAGCACCUUCAAUGCUAAUUCUACUAAAAAUACACGCUUUCAGUCUAAACAUCCCUAUACCUUAGUACAAUCCAUCAACUUACUACACAUUAUGAGUUCAG